GAUGAAGAACGUAGCGAAAUGCGAAAAGUAGUGUGAAUUGCAGAAUUCAGUGAAUCAUCGAAUCUUUGAACGCACAUUGCGCCCUAUGGUAUUCCGUAGGGCAUGCCUGUUCGAGCGUCAUUCAAACCUUCAAGCUCUGCUUGGUGUUGGGCGUCUGUCCUGCCUCACGGCGCGGACUCGCCUCAAAUCUAUUGGCGGCCGGCACGUUGGCUUCGAGCGCAGCAGAAACGCGAACUCGAGACCGGCGGAUCGGCUCCCAGAAGCUACCCCCAUGAAUUUGACCUCGGAUCAGGUAGGACUACCCGCUGAACUUAAGCAUAUCAAUAAGCGGAGGA
RNAcentral lists this unclassified non-coding RNA (335 nucleotides) under soil metagenome. RNAcentral describes it as "partial contains 5.8S ribosomal RNA, internal transcribed spacer 2, and large subunit ribosomal RNA". The stretch from base 1 to 120 matches the Rfam family "5.8S ribosomal RNA", at positions 35 to 154 of the family's 154-position model. The record is from RNAcentral.